Molecule: ribosomal RNA, 503 nt
Filed under: uncultured bacterium
Lineage: Bacteria
Description: bacterial SSU rRNA
Rfam family: Bacterial small subunit ribosomal RNA
Source: RNAcentral
ACUCCUACGGGAGGCAGCAGUGGGGAAUUUUGGACAAUGGGGGCAACCCUGAUCCAGCCAUGCCGCGUGAGUGAAGAAGGCCUUCGGGUUGUAAAGCUCUUUCGGACGGAACGAAAUGGUUACGGCGAACACCUGUGACUGAUGACGGUACCGUAAGAAGAAGCACCGGCUAACUACGUGCCAGCAGCCGCGGUAAUACGUAGGGUGCGAGCGUUAAUCGGAAUUACUGGGCGUAAAGCGUGCGCAGGCGGUUUCGUAAGCUGGAGGUGAAAUCCCCGGGCUCAACCUGGGAAUGGCCUUCAGGACUGCGAGGCUAGAGUGCGGCAGAGGGAGGUGGAAUUCCACGUGUAGCAGUGAAAUGCGUAGAUAUGUGGAGGAACACCGAUGGCGAAGGCAGCCUCCUGGGCCAGCACUGACGCUCAUGCACGAAAGCGUGGGGAGCAAACAGGAUUAGAUACCCUGGUAGUCCACGCCCUAAACGAUGUCAACUAGGUGUUGGGGAA